CGGACGAACACGCAGCAGCGUUCAUCUCUGUUUCAGUACUCAGGGCGCGUUCACUCGAAGUGGUUAUGCACAUGCAAUAAAGAAAAGAUUCGUAUUUUGUGACAUCAGAGCACGAUAUAACGUAUCGAGCAUCGAGCGAGAAAAAUUAUACGGGUGGAUCUUUAACCAGUAAAUCUUCUAGUGAAUUCGACGAUUUUCUGACAGCUCGUUUUCAGAAGAAGCGAAAACACCGCGAAAACACCGAAAAACUAGGAAGUCUCCUCGUGGGAGAAGCAAGAAGACGGAGCGUGCAUGCUGAGGCGACCGACGUUUAGUGACUUUUCCAAGAUCGACCGGAAAGUCCUUAUGGUAGGUGAGGGGCGUGAACGAUCUUUCCCGAGCGAGAUCCAGAGGCUGAAGGGCUGGCCCCGACGUUGGAUCCACUCGGCCAGCAGCUACAUUUAGAAUAACAACGAUGACCGAUCGUAACGAGAAUCUGCUAUUAAAACCAACGAAUCAACUCAACGUGCAACAGGUACCCCACAAAUCUGCCUGCAAUUGGAACAACAAUAACGAUAUUCGCAACAACGGCUCGACGAACUUGAUCAAAAGAGACGGACUAACUACGAGAGAUCCAAAUUAUUAUCCACGAUCGAACAGCUAUCAGAGAGAUCAAACAAAUUCGAAUUAUCGUCUGCCGAGAAAGGCGCCCAUCGUUGGCUGGCAAAAUGGCAGUCCAACGGUAUUUCCAAGCACACCGUGCGGCACACCAGAUCCAGAAACGCACGAUACGAUCGAUUUGUCUCGUUCCCAAAGCGUCGCCUCGUCUACGAAAUAUUCAGAGAUCGAUCCAGAUUCUGGCAACACCGAAGACCUCAGUAGUUUGGCGGACGAAAGACUUCUUCAAUCUACACCAGCUCAUACCAUCGAUCGAAGCGUGGAAUCAUUGUCACCCGAUAAGGAAACUUUCUUAACGACAUCUCCGGAAAUUGGCAAAAGCAAGGAUCUAAGUUUGACCGACGAUAUAGAGGAUAAGAUCGAUCUGCUGAGUCCUGGAACAGAUUGCACGGAGGACAGAGCACCACCUACUCCUAGUGACAAUAGUUUCCUGGCCUCGCCGAACCAUACGAUAGGACCUGCCCCUGUCAAUAAAAUCGAGUUAAUAAUAACAACCCCGUUACCAAACGAGUUGCGCACAUUCCAAAAAAACGGGGGAUCCAACAAUUGCAGAUAUUCGGAGACAAGGCCAAUAAUCACCCCUAAUCCUGGCUACAGAGACGACACGAGAGAUUCCAUCGAUUCCGAUAGCACUUUAGAAGACGAAUUAGCCAACAAGGGAAAAAGGAAACCUAAAGUGCCAGAUGGUGGAUGGGGUUGGGUAGUCGUAUUGGCUUCUUUGGUCAUCUCCAUGAUAGCCGAUGGAGUUUCCUUCAGUUUCGGCCUUUUGUACAUCGAAUUCCUUAAAGAAUUCGGUGCGUCUAAAUCGAAAACAGCCUGGAUAGGUUCUCUCUUUAUGGCUGUACCACUUUUGUCCGGUCCUAUAAUGUCGGCCUUAGUAGAUCGUUACGGAUGUAGGAGUAUGACCAUCGUAGGUGGCCUGAUCUCAGGAAUAGGCUUCGUGUUGAGCUCUUUUAGCAAUUCCAUCGAGGUAAUGUAUUUGACUUUUGGAGUCAUCGCUGGUUUAGGUUUGGGUUUGUGUUACGUCACUGCAGUCGUGAGCAUCGCGUAUUGGUUCGAUAAGAAGCGAACCCUAGCUGUAGGAUUGGGCGCCUGUGGCACAGGGAUCGGUACCUUCUUGUACGCGCCCAUGACCACGUAUUUCAUCGAGGAAUAUGGCUGGAGAGGCACUUGCUUGCUGCUAGCAGGCACCUUCUUCAACAUGAUCGUCUGUGGUACGGUAAUGCGCGACCCUGAAUGGUGGAUCUUGGAACAGGAAAAGCAGAACGGUGCAACCCCGAAAAAGUCGACGACCAAGUCCGAAUGCGAUAGAUCCAGUAUCAGCCCUGCAGACGAGUUUCCUGGGGUCGAGGAAUUGAGAAGGAUGCUGAAGAGCGGACAUACGCCGGAGUAUUUGUUACAGAUUCUCAGCACCACCACGGAGGGUCCACAGACGGCGAACGGUGAUAUUAGAUUUAGAAGCGUGGUUAAUCUACCUACUUUCGUGAAGCACAAUGAAAAGGUUCCCGUGGAAGUAUUAGAAUCGCUAUCCAGUAACCCGAGACUGUAUAAGGUCAUUUUGGAGAACUAUCCCAACCUUCUAUCAUGUAGAAGUUAUUCGGAUAAAAUGCUACAAGAUUCCACUGGAGAAGUCGGCAAUAAGAGUGUCGUCACAAUGUCUAUGAGGAUCAAACAAGCACCUGACGAAUCAAAACAUGACAAUUCACAUGCAACGAAUAAUGUUCAAUCAGGAUCUGCAUGCAACACCAUAAAGAAUCACAUAACGAAAAAAAUAUCUAAAAAAGAUUUAGAAGAAGCCAAUCCUCUCUUGAUCAAAGAACUUGAGUAUACAAUGAGCGAAGGACGAAAAUCAAAAUCGAUUUCUAAACAACGCAUAGCGGAUCUUAGUUGUGGAGUCGUCAGAACGGAUUCUCUCCCGUGGUUAAGAAGACAAUUUAAUACCAAUACUCACCAUUUUAAAGAUAUUAGAGUUCACAGGAACUCGGUCAUGUAUCGUGGUGCUGCUCUUAAUUUGCACAAAUACAGAUUAAGGGCCAGUAGUUGUCCUGAUAUUUAUAGAAAUAGUAUGACUACAUUAGCCAAAGAAAACGAAGAGAAAUGGUACAGCGAACUAGUAGACUUACUGAAAGGUAUGAUGGACUUUUCAAUGUUCCUGGAACUGCACUUUUUAUUCCUCUCACUGUCAACGAUCUUGCUGUUCACUUGGUUUAUCGUGCCUUACUUUUAUCUUGCCGAGCAUCUUACCAGAAACAGUUACAUCGAGUCUGAUGCUGCGAAUCUCCUUAGUAUUAUCGGCAUUACUAAUACGAUUGGAAUGAUUGGUCUUGGAUGGGCAGGAGAUCAACCUUGGAUGAAUGUUAGUAAAACCUACACUUGGUGUCUGGUUGCUUGCGGUGUGGCAACGAUUUUGAUGUCAACGUUAACUCCUUAUUAUAAUCUGCUGAUGGUCACCUCGGCAGCGUUCGGUCUCUUUUUUGCGAGUAGCUUUAGCUUUACUCCUGUUAUAUUGGUAGAGUUGAUACCUCUAGAGAGAUUCACCACUGCCUACGGCCUUAGUUUACUUUGUCAAGGUAUAGGAAACCUUCUUGGUCCACCACUGGCUGGUUGGAUAUUUGACGUAACGAAUUCGUGGGACUUGUCUUUUUGUUUGGCUGGUGGAUGGAUUGUUAUUUCUGGGUUUUUGGUAGGCCUCAUUCCGUACACAAAAAAUCGAAAGAUUUGGGGUAAAGGACCCAUCGAAAUGGAGCGUGAGAGAGAUAGUAUAGCUUGAAUUUAUUAUUAGUCGACUAAACUCUUACUUUCAACAAAGACAAGCGAUGGAAUUGUUGAUUGAUAAUUUACUGUUAUUUUAAUCAUCGGGAGAAGGAAAAUAUUAAUUGUUGCAUUAAUAUUUCUUUAAUCUAUAAUGAUUUUAUCAUCAGAUUUCUUUUUAUUAAAUGCAUGUACUUUAUAUACAGUGAUAAUAAUAAUACUUAUUGAUCCGUAAUAUUUAUAAAAUGAACCGUAAAAUGUACAUAUGUUAAUAACUUAAAGUUAUUUAAAUUGCAGUGAAGUAUAGUUAAUUGUAUUUAAAAUUCACUGAAGAAAUCAUAAUAUAUGAAGAAUUAGCAAAGGUACAAAGAAACAAUGAAUGUAUCAUAAGAUUUUUUUAUCAUGCGGCAAACAUAAUUGAACAUCGUAUAUCACUACUUAAUUAUUUUGUGGAUUUAUUACAGUUUGAUUCAUUCAACUGAAACAAAAGUGCAUCCUUAUCUUUUAAAUUGCAAUUUAUCUUUCGAUUAAUAUGUGCGAUGCGUGUCGCUUGCGUAAACGUAGAUAUCCAUAAAUGAUGUAAACGAAUAUCGAUAUGCAAUUGGUAUAUAUUAUUCGCUGUUGUUCCAACAGUACAAAGCUAUAAAAUACAUAUUAUUUACUUUUCUUUAAAAAAAUUAAUUCGCCAAUAAUUUUAUUAAAGACAAAAUUCUUUCUUAAAAACAAAUAAAACAAUAAAAAAAGGAUAUUUCUAAAAAAGGUGCUCGUAAUUAAAAGAAGGUUGCUUUGAUAAAUAUUUACAAAAUUUCUAUAUACGUGUAUUACUAGAAAAACAUGUACUAAUAUACAAAUAUAUACUAUUUGGUAAUUCAAUUCGAAUAUUUCUGAACAAGGAAGUGGCAAACUUAACUGAAUUUAUAUACUUAUAAAGGUGUUAACGACAAAAAAGUCUUGCGUGUUCCGUCCGAAGGAACAAAAACGUAAGGUCUUUCGUGGGUAAUUUUAUGACGCCUGCUUUCGAACACAAGAGGCUAUUUUUGAGUAGAGACUUUAGAGCAUUUAGAACGAUUUCUUUCAAUAAUUCUAACAAUCUUUUCUAUUUUCUAUGUCUAUCAUAUUCUCAAUGACCAUGCGUGUCAUAAAUCAGGUUACCUCCGAGGCGUCAUUAGUACAUUAGCGACAUAUGAUGGUCUGAUCGAUCGCUUGAAAGAUCACCUGGAGAAUUGUUUGUGGCCUAAUCAUCUCGAGGCCUCACGUUCGUCUAGAAAGAGUUCACCCUCUUCCCUUCAAGGACAUGCUUCGAGCGCAUGAUAGGCUAUAACGGUAUGAAUGAAAUCUAAAGAACAUGCUGAUUGGUUUUUCUUUGAAUUUGCUGUGAAUACCACCAGAUUGAUAUACUUCUAAACUUCUGCCUUAUAACGUCCAAUAUAGAUAACAAAUCGAGAAAUCAAGUCUGCCAUGCUAAUUAAAACGAUGCACAAUAAUUUUUCGCAUCGUUGUAACGAAACGUCCCAACUGUGAUCGCAAUCAUUGUCAGGUAAAGGUUAGAAAAAUUGUGGAAUUAGCAAAUGUAUUCUCUAGUUAAUAAGUAUUCGGCAUUUAACUAUAUUAACGAAGAUUUUUGAAGUGCAAUGUUAUCAUAUUAUACACCGUAAUGACAUAUUUCAAUUAAAAAAUAAAAAAAAUAAAUCCAAUAAACUUAUUCGAUUUUCAGAAAUUUCUGUAUAGCUUUUAGAAACAUUUAAUCAAUCGAUAUCAUGGUAGAGACGUAAGGAUACGUAACUAUAAUGACUGCAAUUUUACUUAAAUCUGCUGUUUCAAUAUGUACAUACUUAUAUUUUUGCUUAAAUAGGCAUCCUGUUAUUAGAAAUUUAACAAAAAUAUCAACAAUUAAUUGUUUCCAUUACAUUAUAAUGAAUGUUAUUAAAAAGUCUCGUUCUUAAAAAGGAUUGUGCUUAUAAAUAAUUAUAUCAUACACGUAGAGCGUAUAAAAAUGGAUACAGUUCUUUCUCUACAAUCUCUUAAUGGUGUGUUAAUUUCAUUUUCCGAUUUCUAUGUCAUUUAUUCUGUGUCUCUUGAGAAAAAAAAAUUUAAAAAGAAGAAUGCGCUUUAAGUAUAUCGUUCUUACAAAAUAAAUUGUCAAAGCUUUUCCUCAGAUUGAACUGAGAGUAGUAGUGUUAGUAUCUGCUACUGUUCUCUAGUGUGCAUUGGAACGCUUGUAGCGCCUUGUUUCGUGUACACAUGCUUCACUAAAACACGACACCCAGAGGUACAAGAUAACAUCAAAUAUUUCACUUCUAAAGAUAGAAGUCAAUUGAUUGUCCAUAUUAUCCCGCUAUCACGUUUUAUACUCAAUAAUCAAUGAGAGUUUUGAUGCUGUUUGCAAGAAUGUUAUAUUUAAUACUACAUAGCGUAACAGUGUCAAGUGUAAUAAUAAAUGUAAACUUCACCAGGAGUUUCUUGAAAGUAGAUUUGAAAUUGCGUAAAAUUAUACAUAUAUCUUUUCCAAGUCGACACGGAGUCUAACAAAGUUUUCAGUUUCCACUAUUGUUCAUUUAUUGUAACGCGUGUUUGGCUCAAGUAGGGGUAGAGGUCGAAAUACAGUUUAUUUUCUUAUUGUUCUCAUAGAGACGAAUCUUCCUUCGAUUAUACGCGCCCAGUUAGGUUGAAUUUCGCGCGGUGGGUAUCCUUCUCUCAAGUUGCACACAUGCAACUUGUGGCACAGAGUAUCGAUGAAAGCAACGUCUUAAAUUUUCUACCAACGCCACAAUGUGAUACUGUGUUAUUGUUAUAAAAUACCACCUCCACAGAAUUCAUUAACUAAUCGUGAAACAUUUUUCAUCACAAAGACAACCAAUAGCAUCUUUUUUAAGACAUCCACGAAGGGCUAAUAUGAUUUUAAAAGAGCAGAAUGGUUUUGACUGCGACAGUGAAAAAUGUAACCUUUUAAAAUUAUUACAUUUAGCAUCGAUUAAUUUCACUUUAUACAACUUUGUUAUAUUGUGUAUUAUAUAGUUUAUAACGAUACAAUGUUAUUGUUAUUAAAUUAUUUUACUUUUAUUAGUGAUAGUACUUGUAAUUUGUUAAUUAGUGAUUCAGUAGUAGUAGUAAAAAGUGAUGAUGAUAGUUGGUGUUAUCACAAUUAUCAUUGUUUGCACUGAAGCCUAUAGAUAGACGAGCAAGUUAUAUGGAAAAAGUGGGCGACAACGUCCAUUGGAUAUGAAAAAGAGCGGGAAUAAAGAUUAUUAGUUUCCUCUGGUAAGCACGGUCGUGUACACAAGAUUGGAAACACCAAUGGUGUUAUACCACUAUGGAACACUGCGAUCGAGAAUCUGGAUUUUGUAUUUAGCGUCAUCCUUCGGUGAAAGCAUUGAAGAUAAAGGAUAUAAACUAAAUCACUUAAACUGAGCUUAAUCAAUGAUUGAACUAAACUAUUUUUCAUAAUUUUUCUCCGUUUAUUUAAAGUAAAUACAUAUACAAUAUUUCAUAUAAUAUAGAAAAAUGUUGCUUAAAUGAAUAUUAGUUAUAAACUGUUAUUAAAUAUGUAUUAUUAUUUCCAACAAAAAGUUUUAACAAAAUUACAAGGUCCAAAUCAAAUAUGUACACAUAGAUUUAGUAUUUUUAUAUUUGGCGCACGUAAUAAAAUAUGUUUAUCGUAAGCACAUUUUUAGUUUUAUUAAUUCAUUAAUGUAUGACUAUUAACGCUAUCUAUAAUGUACGUAGAUAAUAUGAUGUCCAAAAUAUUAUGCAUGAUUGAAACAUUUCAAUGUUAUUAAAAUUUUUAUUGAAAAAGCAAAGUUACAGUAUAAUCUUAGAGUUUACAUAGGUUUUUAGUAAUGAGAAACAUAUUUAUAUUAUAUAACAUUUAUUAGACAUUAGUUAAAAACAAAAUAAUAAUAAUAAUAAUAAUAAUAUAAUCAUAAUAAUCAUUUAUGCAGUACAAAAGUUGGUCUCUAUUAUCAUUAUCGUAGUGUCGCGUUUUUUCCUAUCACCCCUGCUACUCGGCCUGCCGUGAAUCCAGUAUGUGAUCAGAUUCAGAAAAGAGAGAGGAAGAGAUGGAGACAGAGAGAACCGGGAACCAGGUACGGGCUAUCUCUACACGAUAGCGUUACAUAACGAAUCCUAACUUCUCCAUUGGAGCGCCUUACUGCGGAUAAAUUGACCAACUUCGUCCGAUCACUAAGAGCCUUACCCCCCACCACCGGAGUUUCUAGACCUAUAUAUACAACCGUGGUGAUAAUUAUCCUAGGUACUUUCAAUGUUAGUAUUGGACAAACUACAAAACGAUAUUGGUAAAAGACUGAUAGGUACAUUUUUUAAUUGUUGAUCGCUACUUCACUACAUGCUAUAAACAUUAUGAUAAUAAUUACUUUAAAUUUAUUGAAUAAUGAUAUAAAGACAUU
Molecule: RNA transcript, 7811 nt
Organism: Bombus pyrosoma
Lineage: Eukaryota; Metazoa; Arthropoda; Insecta; Hymenoptera; Apidae
Exons: 8
Source: RefSeq, a predicted model, not a curated record